UCUUCAAUAGAGCCUGUUAGAAGUGAGGU
This 29-nucleotide non-coding RNA is filed under the name Homo sapiens (human). Lineage: Eukaryota; Metazoa; Chordata; Mammalia; Primates; Hominidae. The record is from RNAcentral.